RNAcentral lists this ribosomal RNA (253 nucleotides) under uncultured bacterium. RNAcentral describes it as "partial 16S ribosomal RNA". It matches the Rfam family "Bacterial small subunit ribosomal RNA", at positions 524 to 776 of the family's 1533-position model. The record is from RNAcentral.
UACGUAGGGUGCAAGCGUUAUCCGGAUUCACUGGGUUUAAAGGGUGCGUAGGCGGUCAGGUAAGUCAGUGGUGAAAUCUCCGGGCUUAACCCGGAAACUGCCGUUGAUACUAUCUGUCUUGAAUAUCGUGGAGGUAAGCGGAAUAUGUCAUGUAGCGGUGAAAUGCUUAGAUAUGACAUAGAACACCCAUUGCGAAGGCAGCUUACUACACGAUCAUUGACGCUGAGGCACGAAAGCGUGGGGAGCAAACAGG